Small nuclear RNA from Vicugna pacos (alpaca), 105 nucleotides. Lineage: Eukaryota; Metazoa; Chordata; Mammalia; Artiodactyla; Camelidae. The record is from Ensembl.
GUGUUUGCUUUGGCAGCACAGAUACUAAAAUUGGAACGAUGCCAAGAAGAGCAGCAUGGUGCCUGGGCAACGUUGUACAGCAUAUCGUAGUUUUAACCAACGUUA